GUGAAUGGCGCGUGCUAUACAUGCAGUCGAGCGAAUGGAUUAAGAGCUUGCUCUUAUGAAGUUAGCGGCGGACGGGUGAGUAACACGUGGGUAACCUGCCCAUAAGACUGGGAUAACUCCGGGAAACCGGGGCUAAUACCGGAUAACAUUUUGAACCGCAUGGUUCGAAAUUUGAAAGGCGGCUUCGGCUGUCACUUAUGGAUGGACCCGCGUCGCAUUAGCUAGUUGGUGAGGUAACGGCUCACCAAGGCAACGAUGCGUAGCCGACCUGAGAGGGUGAUCGGCCACACUGGGACUGAGACACGGCCCAGACUCCUACGGGAGGCAGCAGUAGGGAAUCUUCCGCAAUGGACGAAAGUCUGACGGAGCAACGCCGCGUGAGUGAUGAAGGCUUUCGGGUCGUAAAACUCUGUUGUUAGGGAAGAACAAGUGCUAGUUGAAUAAGCUGGCACCUUGACGGUACCUAACCAGAAAGCCACGGCUAACUACGUGCCAA
RNAcentral lists this ribosomal RNA (496 nucleotides) under Bacillus sp. BS91. Its description in RNAcentral is "bacterial SSU rRNA". It matches the Rfam family "Bacterial small subunit ribosomal RNA", at positions 37 to 511 of the family's 1533-position model. Lineage: Bacteria; Bacillati; Bacillota; Bacilli; Caryophanales; Bacillaceae. The record is from RNAcentral.